This 236-nucleotide ribosomal RNA is filed under the name Oenococcus oeni. RNAcentral describes it as "partial 23S ribosomal RNA". It matches the Rfam family "Bacterial large subunit ribosomal RNA", at positions 2689 to 2925 of the family's 2925-position model. Lineage: Bacteria; Bacillati; Bacillota; Bacilli; Lactobacillales; Lactobacillaceae. The record is from RNAcentral.
GGACCGGGAUGGACAUACCUCUGGUGUACCAGUUGUUCUGCCAAGAGCACCGCUGGGUAGCUACGUAUGGAUUAGAUAAUCGCUGAAAGCAUCUAAGUGAGAAACUAACCUCGAGAUGAGAUUUCCCAUUCGUCAGAAGUAAGACCCCUGAGAGACGAUCAGGUAGAUAGGCUAGAAGUGGAAGUGUAGUGAUGCAUGGAGCGGACUAGUACUAAUAGGUCGAGGACUUAACCAAG